Molecule: ribosomal RNA, 300 nt
Filed under: uncultured archaeon
Lineage: Archaea
Description: partial 16S ribosomal RNA
Rfam family: Bacterial small subunit ribosomal RNA (bases 52-300)
Source: RNAcentral
GUUACGUCCGGGGCAGGAGCGGGGGUAGUAGUGGGGGGGUGUGUGGUAGUCGGAAGUACGGUGCGGAAAGGGGGGGUAGGGUGUGUGGUAAGCGGGAGGUGAAAGCCCCGGGCUCAACCUGGGAACUGCAUGUCGAACUGGCAAGCUAGAGUACAGUAGAGGGUGGCGGAAUUUCCUGUGUAGCGGUGAAAUGCGUAGAGAUGGGAAGGAACAUCAGUGGCGAAGGCGGCCACCUGGACUGAUACUGACACUGAGGUGCGAAAGCGUGGGGAGCAAACAGGAUUAGAUACCCGAGUAGUC